GAUGAACGCUGACAGAAUGCUUAACACAUGCAAGUCUUUGGCGAAGCUGUGCUUGCACCGCCUAGCCAAGGCGGACGGGUGAGUAACGCGUAAGGAACUUGCCCUGCAGUCAGGGAUAACAGACGGAAACGACUGAUAAGACCUGGUAAAGUCAGGCGGACUCAUGUCCAGCCUGAUGAAAAGAGAUGCUGCAGGAGAGCCUUGCGUCCUAUUAGCUUGUUGGUGGGGUAACGGCCCACCAAGGCGAUGAUAGGUAGCCGGCCUGAGAGGGUGGACGGCCACAAGGGGACGGAGAUACGGCGCUUACUCCUACGGGAGGCAGCAGUGGGGAAUAUUGGACAAUGGGGGCAACCCUGAUCCAGCAAUUCUGUGUGCACGAUGAAGGUUUUCGGAUUGUAAAGUGCUUUCAGCAGGGAAGAAAAAAUGACGGUACCUGCAGAAGAAGCGACGGCUAAAUACGUG
Molecule: ribosomal RNA, 462 nt
Filed under: uncultured bacterium
Lineage: Bacteria
Description: partial 16S ribosomal RNA
Rfam family: Bacterial small subunit ribosomal RNA
Source: RNAcentral